RNAcentral lists this non-coding RNA (21 nucleotides) under Caenorhabditis elegans. The record is from RNAcentral. Lineage: Eukaryota; Metazoa; Nematoda; Chromadorea; Rhabditida; Rhabditidae.
UUUGAUUGCAUUCCAAAAUUA